GAUGAACGCUGGCGGCGUGCUUAACACAUGCAAGUCGAGCGGAAAGGCCCAAGCUUGCUUGGGUACUCGAGUGGCGAACGGGUGAGUAACACGUGGGUGAUCUGCCCUGCACUUCGGGAUAAGCCUGGGUAACUGGGUCUAAUACCGGAUAGGACGAUGGUUUGGAUGCCAUUGUGGACAGUUUUUUCGGUGUGGGAUGAGCUCGCGGCCUAUCAGCUUGUUGGUGGUGUAAUGGCCUACCAAGGCGUCGACGGGUAGCCGGCCUGAGAGGGUGUACGGACACAUUGGGACUGAGAUACGGGCCAGACUCCGACGGGGGGGAGAAGUGGGGAAUAUUGGACAAUGGGAGAAAGCCUGAGGGAGCGACGCCGCGGGGGGGAUGACGGCCUUUGGGUUGUAAACUCCUCUCGCUGGGGACGAAGCGUUUUUGUGACGGUACCUGGAGAAGAAGCACCGGCUAACUACGUG
RNAcentral lists this ribosomal RNA (468 nucleotides) under uncultured bacterium. RNAcentral describes it as "partial 16S ribosomal RNA". It matches the Rfam family "Bacterial small subunit ribosomal RNA", at positions 28 to 507 of the family's 1533-position model. The record is from RNAcentral.